RNAcentral lists this ribosomal RNA (253 nucleotides) under uncultured bacterium. RNAcentral describes it as "partial 16S ribosomal RNA". It matches the Rfam family "Bacterial small subunit ribosomal RNA", at positions 524 to 776 of the family's 1533-position model. The record is from RNAcentral.
UACGGGGGGGGCAAGCGUUGUUCGGAAUUACUGGGCGUAAAGGGCUCGUAGGCGGCCAACUAAGUCGGAUGUGAAAUCCCCAGGCUUAACCUGGGAACUGCAUCCGAUACUGGAUGGCUUGAAUCCGGGAGAGGGAUGCAGAAUUCCAGGUGUAGCGGUGAAAUGCGUAGAUAUCAGGAGGAAUACCGAUGGCGAAGGCAGCCCCCUGGGAUAACACUGACGCUCAUGCACGAAAGCGUGGGGAGCAAACAGG